CCACUGUCAAAAGUAACCGGGACUGGCCUAGUAUUCCGACCUUAUAUAUCGGUCUAUGAUAUAAUUCCUCAAUACUGCAUGCUUUGCGGAGAACCGCAAAAUUUUUGGUUUCACCAUGUCGGGAUUUUGCUAGGACAUACACCCGCAGCGUGCCGGGCAGUCUCAAACACUACUAAAGACUUUAUAUAUAUAAAAAAUCUAUACUACUACUACUAGGUUCAGGAAAAGUUUGGAUUGUAAUUUAAAAACUACGCCCAGUACACAGGAACGCUAUAUUAGCCGGUGAUGUUGGCAAACUUUAACUUCUAUCUUAAUUUUUGAC
Molecule: long non-coding RNA, 322 nt
Filed under: Mytilus galloprovincialis (Mediterranean mussel)
Lineage: Eukaryota; Metazoa; Mollusca; Bivalvia; Mytilida; Mytilidae
Source: RNAcentral